AUUUGUAGAGAGUAGGGUAUUGUUUACACGUCAACCCUGCCCGAUCCACCAACAAGGUAUUGGCAACGUUAGCACAACUGUCUCCGUCAACUAUCACACUACAGAAUUUUUCAUUGACCAAGCACCUAGAAUGAAAAAUAGUAUUUCUCUGACUGUUGCCUUUGGGCUUAACAUGUAUGUUUAGUGCUCGUUGAGCCACAAAUACAUCUCCUUGUAUUGGUCGAGCUAUACUCUCUCCGUCCACUAGUGUUAGAUCUUCCUGCUCAUCACUGCUUUCGUGGUCACUGAUGAUAUCUCCAUCAUCUCGGAUAAUCAUGACACACUGAUUAGGAUAUUAGGAUGCAACAUCCCCCACUCCUAGGCACUUGAAAUAUUUAAUAGUGCUUUAACGGGUGAUUGGUGCCUUAGGAUUAACUGUUGGAUUGCCAGCGGGUUGUUUUCCCUUACUGUCAUCCACUUUCUUAUUUUCAUCCCUUCGAGUCCAUCUUUGGUUUCCCUAAGGAG
This 504-nucleotide long non-coding RNA is filed under the name Carica papaya (papaya). RNAcentral describes it as "long non-coding RNA (CPAP_LNC007199)". The record is from RNAcentral. Lineage: Eukaryota; Viridiplantae; Streptophyta; Magnoliopsida; Brassicales; Caricaceae.